This 72-nucleotide transfer RNA is filed under the name Actinomycetes bacterium. RNAcentral's name for it is "Actinobacteria bacterium tRNA-Gly". It matches the Rfam family "tRNA". Rfam says of the family: Transfer RNA (tRNA) molecules are approximately 80 nucleotides in length. Their secondary structure includes four short double-helical elements and three loops (D, anti-codon, and T loops). Lineage: Bacteria; Bacillati; Actinomycetota; Actinomycetes. RNAcentral also lists the same sequence under 1 other name. The record is from RNAcentral.
GCGGGCGUGGUGUAACGGUUGCACGUGAGCCUUCCAAGCUCGAGGAUGCGGGUUCGAUCCCCGUCGCCCGCU